UACGUAGGGUGCAAGCGUUAAUCGGAAUUACUGGGCGUAAAGCGUGCGCAGGCGGCUAUGUAAGACAGGUGUGAAAGCCCCGGGCUUAACCUGGGAAUGGCAUUUGGGACUGCAAGGCUUGAGUGCGGCAGAGGAGACUGGAAUUCCUGGUGUAGCAGUGAAAUGCGUAGAUAUCAGGAGGAAUACCGAUGGCGAAGGCAGGUCUCUGGGCUGACAUUGACGCUCAUGCACGAAAGCGUGGGGAGCAAACAGG
This 253-nucleotide ribosomal RNA is filed under the name uncultured bacterium. RNAcentral's name for it is "partial 16S ribosomal RNA". It matches the Rfam family "Bacterial small subunit ribosomal RNA", at positions 524 to 776 of the family's 1533-position model. The record is from RNAcentral.